AAUAAAUGCAGUUUUGCACUAUUCACGUUCAACGUUUGACCGUUCGUCUUAUUUGAAAUUUUUUUAUGAUUAGUAUUUUUAUUGCUAUUAGAUGAUAAAACAUAAAUAGUACUUUAUGUGUGACUAAAUAUUUUCAAAUUUUUCAAAUAAGACGGACGGUCAAAUGUUGGGCACGGAUAUCCACGGCUGCACUUAUU
Molecule: microRNA precursor, 197 nt
Filed under: Oryza nivara
Lineage: Eukaryota; Viridiplantae; Streptophyta; Magnoliopsida; Poales; Poaceae
Description: MIR812 microRNA precursor family
Rfam family: MIR812 microRNA precursor family
Source: Rfam by way of RNAcentral